AAGACUAUAGACCUGCGGAGUACCUGCGGAAGGAUCAUUACCUGAAUACGGGCUUCGGCCCUCAUUCUACCCUUGUCUACUGCACCUUUGUUGUUCCCUCGGCGGGUCUCCCGCCGGUGGGUACCCCAAAAACCCUUUGCAUUAGCAUGUAAAUCUGAUACCAAUUGAAUAAUCACAACUUUCAACAACGGAUCUCU
RNAcentral lists this unclassified non-coding RNA (197 nucleotides) under soil metagenome. RNAcentral describes it as "partial contains 5.8S ribosomal RNA, internal transcribed spacer 2, and large subunit ribosomal RNA". The record is from RNAcentral.